RNAcentral lists this non-coding RNA (30 nucleotides) under Homo sapiens (human). The record is from RNAcentral. Lineage: Eukaryota; Metazoa; Chordata; Mammalia; Primates; Hominidae.
UCACCAGGCAGAUAGAAAGUUGGAAACCAG